RNAcentral lists this ribosomal RNA (495 nucleotides) under uncultured bacterium. RNAcentral's name for it is "partial 16S ribosomal RNA". It matches the Rfam family "Bacterial small subunit ribosomal RNA", at positions 29 to 507 of the family's 1533-position model. The record is from RNAcentral.
AUGAACGCUGGCGGCGUGCCUAAUACAUGCAAGUCGAGCGAACAGACGAGGAGCUUGCUCCUCUGACGUUAGCGGCGGACGGGUGAGUAACACGUGGAUAACCUACCUAUAAGACUGGGAUAACUUCGGGAAACCGGAGCUAAUACCGGAUAAUAUAUUGAACCGCAUGGUUCAAUAGUGAAAGACGGUUUUGCUGUCACUUAUAGAUGGAUCCGCGCCGCAUUAGCUAGUUGGUAAGGUAACGGCUUACCAAGGCAACGAUGCGUAGCCGACCUGAGAGGGUGACCGGCCACACUGGACCUGAGACACGGUCCAGACUCCUACGGAGGCAGCAGUAGGGAAUCUUCCGCAAUGGGCGAAAGCCUGACGGAGCAACGCCGCGUGAGUGAUGAAGGUCUUCGGAUCGUAAAACUCUGUUAUUAGGGAAGAACAAAUGUGUAAGUAACUAUGCACGUCUUGACGGUACCUAAUCAGAAAGCCACGGCUAACUACGUG